AGUAAGAAGUUACAGUGGCAUGUAGUAGUGGACUACACCCACUGUCAGGAGCAGGAAUUAAAAAAAAAAAUUGAAAAUGAUUUUUUUUCUCUCUCUAUUUCUGCCCCCACAUUCUUUCUCUCCCUCCCAUCACUCUCCCCCCCUCCCUCCCUUUUCUUUUGUAACUGAUGGCAACCAUCACCCACCACCAUCACCGACAAAGAGUUCCCCCACCUCGGGCAACGCCGGCGAGCCACCAGCCUUCCGGCAGCAGCACUAGAAGCAGUCGUAAUGAGGGAAGAGAGAGAAAAGUGUGUGCACGGGUGACCCAACUUCUAUGGGCAAUUUUGGCUUCAUCUGAUGUUGGAUCGAGGUGAUUCAGGUAGUAUUAGAAAGCUUGUUCUGAGAGCUUUCUUUUGAUACUAACUUUGCAACAAAUGGAGAUCAGAUGAGUGAGAUAUGGAGGAGAGAAACUUUGAGUUUUUUUAGCUUUUCGGUCAGAUCUAGGAUGAUCUGACCGUUGUAUCAAUGAUCCAAGACCACCGUUAGACUCAGGGCAAUGAAAUCUUUGAGAUGGGACUAGCCCCGCUCCGAUUGAGCACUGUUUGAAAAAGGCAAUCAUCGAACGGUCCAGAUCAUUUGGUACAAUCGGAUCAAUGAUAACUCACCGACUCCCAGGACAAAGUUUUUUGCCAGAUUCGAUUGAUCGGCGACCUGUCCUGAAACAUGGCCAAUAUUAUAGUCGAUCCUAGUAUUUCAAGACAUUCCAGACGUGUUUCAAGUGUCAAAAUUGAUAUAAGUAAACUCAAACUCCAAGUUGCUCAAUUUUUGCCUAAUACCGGGUUUAGAAUAAAACUCAUAAAAUAUUCGUGGGUGAUCAAAAAAUUAUAAUUCCUUUUGCAAUAGCCUUAUAAUAUUGUUAAGGACCACAUGACAAAAUUUUAGAAUUUUUAGAACUCGUUUGAUUGAUUUUCGCAUAAUGUCACUUUUAAGAGCUAAAACAUAAUUUUUCAAUCUUGUGAUUAUUGCCUAGUUUGGAUGGCCUAGGAGGGGCCAUAUGAUGUUAAUGAGAUAUGGGUUGAGAUGUACGAUUUUAGAAGUGUUAUUUGAAUAAUUUUGCAGGUUAGAUAGGUUAAAUAUAGGGAAAACUCUAUAGAAUUUUUGGCAUAAAUUAGGCUAUCUUUUAUCUCUUUAGAGUCUUAUUUUGAAUUAGUACUGAUAAAUUUAUAAUAUAAUUAUUUAGGUGAUCAGGGUCAGUUGUCUUCCUCCACCCAACUGUUAGUAGUAUGCCCUAGAGCAUAUCAUUUAGUAUGUAUCUUGUACAUAUUUUAUUAAUAAAAGGCAAUUUCACU
Hevea brasiliensis (rubber tree) is the source of this 1331-nucleotide long non-coding RNA. RefSeq lists it as uncharacterized. Lineage: Eukaryota; Viridiplantae; Streptophyta; Magnoliopsida; Malpighiales; Euphorbiaceae. The transcript has 2 exons. The record is from RefSeq and is a predicted model, not a curated record.